This 449-nucleotide ribosomal RNA is filed under the name uncultured bacterium. RNAcentral describes it as "partial 16S ribosomal RNA". It matches the Rfam family "Bacterial small subunit ribosomal RNA", at positions 29 to 523 of the family's 1533-position model. The record is from RNAcentral.
AGCGAACGCUGGCGGCAGGCCUAACACAUGCAAGUCGAACGGACCCUUCGGGGUUAGUGGCGGACGGGUGAGUAACACGUGGGAACGUGCCUUUAGGCUCGGAAUAGCUCCUGGAAACGGGUGGUAAUGCCGAAUGUGCCCUUAGGGGGAAAGAUUUAUCGCCUUUAGAGCGGCCCGCGUCUGAUUAGCUAGUUGGUGAGGUAAUGGCUCACCAAGGCUACGAUCAGUAGCUGGUCUGAGAGGAUGGCCAGCCACAUUGGGACUGAGACACGGCCCAAACUCCUACGGGAGGCAGCAGUGGGGAAUCUUGGACAAUGGGGGAAACCCUGAUCCAGCCAUGCCGCGUGAGUGAUGAAGGCCCUAGGGUUGUAAAACUCUUUCGGCGGGGACGAUAAUGACGGUACCCGCAGAAGAAGCUCCGGCUAACUUCGUGCCAGCCGCCGCGGUAA